AACCAAGAAAUUUAGUCAUUCUUUUAUGGUAAAAAGACAGUUAGGCCAUAUUAGUAGAAUUAUGAGAUCUCUAAUAUAGGGGUAAAAUCUAAAUACUAGAAGUUAUCUCAAGCAUGGGUGUUGAGUCUGUGAUAGCUUUAAGGGAAACUGGGAUUGGAUACCCCAUUAUUUUUAGUUGUAAAUUUAGUGAACUUACCAGAGCACUACGAACCCAAAGUUUAAAACUCAAAGGGCUUGGCGGUGUUUUAGACCUCUCAGGGGAACCUGUCUCGUAAUCGAUAGUCCACGUUAAACCUGAUCUCUUGUAGUAAUGCAGCCUGUAUACCGUCGUCGUCAGGUAACUUCUUAAAAUAUAGGAGUUAGCAGGAUAAUCAGAUUAGUUAAGACGUCAGAUCAAGGUGCAGCUAAUAAAGAGGUGAAGAUGGGUUACACUUAUACAUUUAUAAAUACGAAAUAAUACUUGAAAUAAAGUAUUUUGAAGGAGGACUUGAAAGUAAUCUUAAUUAUAUAAAUAAGAUGAAUAUGGCUCUGAAACGUG
RNAcentral lists this ribosomal RNA (538 nucleotides) under Conus thalassiarchus. RNAcentral's name for it is "partial 12S ribosomal RNA". Lineage: Eukaryota; Metazoa; Mollusca; Gastropoda; Neogastropoda; Conidae. The record is from RNAcentral.